AUGCAUAGAACAACAACCGUCGCCGACGACCCAGAUAGCAGAAAUGCCAAGUACCCCUUCGAGUUGACGAGACCGGCAAGUUCCAAGACCCCAAGUACCUCUUCGAAACGACUGAGUACCACUACCGUCGACCCUCGAAGACCCCGUGGACGUCAAGUUCCUCGUUGUGACCCCGAACACCUACGGAGUAUGUACAACUACGAAGCGAGAACGACUACUUCCACUACGAACGUCCCGAGAAUGUCUACUUCCUCUACUUUGCACCGAACGAGAACCGUCCCGUUUGCACGCUUUGAAGGUAUAACCCCGAGACAACGCCCGUGA
RNAcentral lists this ribosomal RNA (324 nucleotides) under Triticum aestivum (bread wheat). RNAcentral's name for it is "partial small subunit ribosomal RNA". Lineage: Eukaryota; Viridiplantae; Streptophyta; Magnoliopsida; Poales; Poaceae. The record is from RNAcentral.